GUGCAGGGAAAGUUGAAAAGAACUUUGAAGAGAGAGUUCAAGAGUACGUGAAACCGUUCAGGGUGUAAACCUGAGAAACCCGAAAGAUCGAAGGGGGAGAUUCAUCGUCAGCGACGUCGGCUUUCUGACGGCACGCGUCCGUUUGUGCUCGUAUGUCCGUCGUCGUCGUCGUGCACUUCUCCCCUGGUACAACGUCGCGACCCGUUGGGUGUCGACUCAUACCCCGGUGGGGUGCCUGCUCCGCGUCGCCUCGUGCGAACGGUGCGCAGACACCCGGUCGCCCGUCCCGGCUGCCCGGCGGUACUCGAACGAUGGUAUCCGGCCGCAGGUCACUCGAACUGCGUCGGGCCCGCUGCAAGCGCGACCAGCGUCCCUCGGGGUAGUCUGGUCUCUGCGCCGUCCCCGAGCCUGGUCAGCUGUUGGCACGCGGUGUCCCCCGACUGGCCGUCGUAAUCACACGCGGAUACCGGUCGGCGACGCUAUUGCUUUGGGUACUCUCAGGACCCGUCUUGAAACACGGACCAAGGAAUCUAACAUGUGCGCGAGUCAUUGGGACUGCGAAAACCUAAAGGCGAAAUGAAAGUGAAGGUCGGCCCUGGCGACGACCGAGGGAGGAUGGGCCGCGCUCGUCUCGGCUCCGCACUCCCGGGGCGUCUCGAUCUCACUGCGAGAUGAGGCGCACCCAGAGCGUACACGUUGGGACCCGAAAGAUGGUGAACUGUGCCUCGUCAGGACGAAGUCAGGGGAAACCCUGAUGGAGGUCCGUAGCGAUUCUGACGUGCAAAUCGAUCGUCGGAACUGGGUAUAGGGGCGAAAGACUAAUCGAACCAUCUAGUAGCUGGUUCCCUCCGAAGUUUCCCUCAGGAUAGCUGGCACUCGGCCGUUCCGCAGGAACGCGCACGAGUCUCAUCUGGUAAAGCGAAUGAUUAGAGGCCUUGGGGCCGAAACGACCUCAACCUAUUCUCAAACUUUAAAUGGGUGAGAUCUCUGGCUUGCUCGAAGGGUGAAGCCAUCGAGACC
This 1020-nucleotide ribosomal RNA is filed under the name Anthobosca cf. erythronota EMP-2008. Its description in RNAcentral is "eukaryotic LSU rRNA". It matches the Rfam family "Eukaryotic large subunit ribosomal RNA", at positions 353 to 1111 of the family's 3401-position model. The record is from RNAcentral. Lineage: Eukaryota; Metazoa; Arthropoda; Insecta; Hymenoptera; Tiphiidae.